AGCCAAUGGCGACGCCCGCCUCGAGGCUCGCCGCGCCAUUUUGAAAGUCACGCGAUUCAGCGUGCGCGCGAUUUAAAACGGCGCCGCGGCGGUGUCGGCGGUGAUUCGUGUGUGUUCGUGUGAUUUCCCCGCGGCCGUUAAUUAUCGAGAUCACCCGAUCACGUUAAUUAGUCAUUGUGUCUAUAGUCGCCGUAGGGAAUUGUGCACAAAGUCGCUUCAAAACUGUCGGAACACGUAUAAGCGCUGCUGUCAAUAUCACGCUGAUUCUGUUAUCAAGGUUGCGCGAGUUACGACUUUUAUGACUGUGAGAAGUUUAAUCGACAUUGAUACGCGAGCACAAAGGAUUAUCUCUCUGGACGAAUGUAUUAUUGUGUACCAAUUCUGGACAGGAUCGUACAAAGAGCGUCAAGCAUUCGCCCUUUUUAACAGAUUCGUUUUAUAUGUAAUACUCUGAUGAGAUAACAUCGAAUGAUACCGAUUCCGUGGCACACGUGAUCGUGCCGAAAUGGACGCGGACGAGCGUGUGGUACGUGAUACACUGGCUGGCAUAUCCGGUGAGAUUCGCUCUGUUUCGGAACCAACUGUACGUCCCUUCCCUCUUCAACCGUCCGA
Temnothorax curvispinosus is the source of this 612-nucleotide long non-coding RNA. RefSeq lists it as uncharacterized. The record is from RefSeq and is a predicted model, not a curated record. The transcript has 3 exons. Lineage: Eukaryota; Metazoa; Arthropoda; Insecta; Hymenoptera; Formicidae.